GAUGAACGCUGGCGGCGUGCCUAAUACAUGCAAGUCGAGCGAACAGACGAGGAGCUUGCUCCUCUGACGUUAGCGGCGGACGGGUGAGUAACACGUGGAUAACCUACCUAUAAGACUGGGAUAACUUCGGGAAACCGGAGCUAAUACCGGAUAACAUGUUGAACCGCAUGGUUCAACAGUGAAAGACGGUCUUGCUGUCACUGAGAGAUGGAUCCGCGCCGCAUUAGCUAGUUGGUAAGGUAACGGCGUACCAAGGCAACGAUGCGUAGCCGACCUGAGAGGGUGAUCCGCCACACUGGAACUGAGACACGGUCCAGACUCCUACGGGAGGCAGCAGUAGGGAAUCUUCCGCAAUGGGCGAAAGCCUGACGGAGCAACGCCGCGUGAGUGAAGAAGGUAUUCGGAUCGUAAAACUCUGUUAUUAGGGAAGAACAAAUGUGUAAGUAACUAUGCACGUCCUGACGGUACCUAAUCAGAAAGCAACGGCUAACUACGUG
Molecule: ribosomal RNA, 497 nt
Filed under: uncultured bacterium
Lineage: Bacteria
Description: partial 16S ribosomal RNA
Rfam family: Bacterial small subunit ribosomal RNA
Source: RNAcentral